This 558-nucleotide long non-coding RNA is filed under the name Fukomys damarensis (Damara mole-rat). RNAcentral's name for it is "lncRNA (ENSFDAG00000022654.1)". Lineage: Eukaryota; Metazoa; Chordata; Mammalia; Rodentia; Bathyergidae. The record is from RNAcentral.
CUUCUUUGUUCCUUAUAAUUCAUUCUUCAAUUUUGGGGAACAUGAACUCGGCAAAUCUGACAUCUAGCAGGUUGCGAGUUAUGUUAUUUCCCCUACAUCAGAAGUACAAGUAGAACCACUGAAAACAUUGGAAGUCAUGACUUUUUAACUUUUUUAUAUGUUAAACCAAUAUAUGUUUUUACUUUCUCAGAAGCAAAACUCAAAAGCAUAGGGAAAUACAUCUUACUUCCUGGAAUUAGAAGAAUGAUGGCAGAAAGGAGAAAGAAAGGAAAAGGGGUUAGUACUGAUAGUAACCAGCGUGAAAAAGAGAAUAGUAUCUGGUUCCCAGAAACAGUUUGUAUUUCUUCAUAUGAGCAUGGCAGCCACCACCAAAGGAUGAAUGAAGAGGACCACCAAAGAAGCUACACAAAGAAGCUCAUCUAGUGUCCUAAGGAUCACCCCUUGGUCCUGUCUCCCAAAGGUUCUAGUCAUCUACCAAUAACUUUACCAUGGAGACCAAGCCUUUAAUCACCAUGGACACUUGGUGAGCACUCAAAGUACACCUAAACUAUACCAGAG